Molecule: ribosomal RNA, 433 nt
Filed under: uncultured bacterium
Lineage: Bacteria
Description: partial 16S ribosomal RNA
Rfam family: Bacterial small subunit ribosomal RNA
Source: RNAcentral
AACGAACGCUGGCGGCAUGCCUAACACAUGCAAGUCGAACGAGACCUUCGGGUCUAGUGGCGCACGGGUGCGUAACGCGUGGGAACCUGCCCUUAGGUUCGGAAUAACUCCCCGAAAGGGGUGCUAAUACCGGAUAAUGUCUUCGGACCAAAGAUUUAUCGCCUUUGGAUGGGCCCGCGUUGGAUUAGCUAGUUGGUAGGGUAAAAGCCUACCAAGGCGACGAUCCAUAGCUGGUCUGAGAGGAUGAUCAGCCACACUGGGACUGAGACACGGCCCAGACUCCUACGGGAGGAAGCAGUGGGGAAUAUUGGACAAUGGGCGAAAGCCUGAUCCAGCAAUGCCGCGUGAGUGAUGAAGGCCUUAGGGUUGUAAAGCUCUUUUACCCGGGAUGAUAAUGACAGUACCGGGAGAAUAAGCGCCGGCUAACACCGUG